Small nuclear RNA from Euleptes europaea (tarantolino), 109 nucleotides. The record is from RefSeq and is a predicted model, not a curated record. Lineage: Eukaryota; Metazoa; Chordata; Lepidosauria; Squamata; Sphaerodactylidae.
GGUGUUUGCUUCGGCAGCACUAUAUACUAAAAUUGGAAUGAUACAGAGAAGAUUAGCAUGACCAAUAUAUAGGUUGGAACUUAAAAGCCAUGAACAGAAAGCACUCAUG